CUUGAUUAUAUUCUAGAGGUUUUUAAUUUAGUAAAAUCAAAGAAACUCUAGUUUUUAAGUGGUCUCUUAUUUUUUCCAGAGCUGUGAUUAUCAGGGCUUUGGCUCCACCACUGUCUUCUAUGUACUGCAGAAUCUGUGAGGGUCCAGACUCUACAAGACCUGGCCCGACAAUGGAUCCUACACCAAGAUGUUUUAUCAACUUACAAAAAAAUAUGUGGACAUGAACUCAGUAAUUAUUUUGUGAGGGAAAGGAGACCAUUCAUGUGUAUGAGUCAAAAAUCACUGCUGACACUGCAAACGGAAUUAGUGAUGAGCUGUGUGGCUCUGAGAGAAGAAUUUACGAUGUGGAGUAGAGGCUCUGUUGAAGACACUGCAAGAGGAACUUUAGGCCUCAUGAAUAUUCUUAGCGAGUGUAGGGUCAUUGUGUUCUUACUUUGUAGGUGCAGUUCUGUCUAUCUCUCUCUCUCUCUGAGAUAAGACCAGGCGAGUUUUAGAGGAACAGCAGGGUACUGAAAGGCCCGAUGAUCAAAGCCUUUCAUUACGCCGGGACUCCCGUGUGCUUGUGUUGUCUCUGGCAAGUGUACCUUCCACUCAUCCUCCCACACAGGUUCUCACAUGGCAUCUGCUCCGUCUUCUUCCCAUCCUGUUCCAAUCACGUCAGCAGAGCUAGUCACCCGAAAGAGUGUGGAGAAGGGUGAGGAACGGUCAUGGAGUGCACACAACACCCUAUCCACAAAACUUCACUUUUGUUUCCAUGUUGGACUGAAGACUGAAAGAAUUCAAGAAAACCUCAUAUCUGACUGAAAGUGUCAAAUCUGCUGACACUCUCUGAACAGAAGAACAACUACAUCUACUGAGAACUUCUUUAUAUUCACAAACUCUCACACUCAUAGCCAAAGAAAUGGUUGCAGAAAUAGUUGCUGCCAGUAAGACGUAACAGAUUGCAGUGCUACUCAGAAAAAAGAUAAAACAAUUGAUUAAAAAUGUUGACAGAUCUUGGUCCUUUUUUAUUGAGCUAGUAGAGGGUAAAGCAUAUGUGAUGCAACAUGCCAGACGCCUCAGCUUGUAGCUGUAGAGGUUCCUAAUGGUGUCCUGCAAUUAUUUUAUCCCAUUCAGCUCAAAUAUUCACAGAGCUCCUAGAUAUUUUGUGGUGGGGUGGAAUGUUGAUGGCAUGUACAUUAUUAUCCCAAACAGUAUUAAUAUGCGAUAAGUCAGGGAAUGCAGAAGAUGGCCAUUGCAUUGGUCUUUAACCCUUAGAAGCCUGUUUUGGUGUGUUUUUUCUCAGUGUUUAUCAGCUUUCAGGUCUUAUAACCCUGUAAUUAUAUCAGACAGUCCCAUGCUGUGAGCUCUUUCACUGCAGAAGCCAUACGGCUGCUCAAACAUUUAAUCAUUUAAAAUGCAAAUGGAAGCAGAAUUGUUAUAUUUUCCUGGAACUGGCAAUGUUUUGGUCAACAUUUUACCAAGCGCCUGUUUUUUUGUACUUAUUUUUGAAUGUAUAGACUUCAAAUAUAUUCACACCUAAGAUAUCUAUUCAAAAAUGGUUAGACUAGAGUGUAUAUGAGUCGAAAGCAUUAGAAUAUUGAUGAUAGUUCAUUACAUGGCUUUUUACUUUAAAAUGAUGAAAAAACACACAAUGAAACCAUUAUACAAAAAUGUAAUCUAAAUGGAUAAAAAUAUUUAGUGCAAAAUAAGUACUUAGUAAAAAUGUGCAAGUAAAAUAAAAACUAUAUAAAGUAGUGCCA
RNAcentral lists this long non-coding RNA (1742 nucleotides) under Astyanax mexicanus (Mexican tetra). RNAcentral describes it as "lncRNA (ENSAMXG00005001833.1)". Lineage: Eukaryota; Metazoa; Chordata; Actinopteri; Characiformes; Acestrorhamphidae. The record is from RNAcentral.